Xenia sp. Carnegie-2017 is the source of this 338-nucleotide long non-coding RNA. RefSeq lists it as uncharacterized. Lineage: Eukaryota; Metazoa; Cnidaria; Anthozoa; Malacalcyonacea; Xeniidae. The transcript has 2 exons. The record is from RefSeq and is a predicted model, not a curated record.
AUAUACAAAAAUCUUCAUUUGGUUAUAAACAAACUAUAGAUAUUGAAACUGAAGCUUUUGGACUUCUAUUUAUCUUUUUAUGGCUAGAAGAUAAAAUAUUCUUAUUUUGAGAAAACGUACAAGGAGAUAGAAGAAGAGGAAAUGAAUUUAUUGCUCAUUUUCAAUGAAGAAGAAAAUCAAUUUCUCUUUUCCUUUUAGCAACCACGAUCAUGUAACAUCCCUUUUUGAAAUGCUGAAAAGCCCACAAGAUUUGCUUUGCUAUAUAGGUAUGAAUCUUUUCUAUAUUUAUUUCUAUUCAUUCAUAUAAUUUACAAAAAUAUGCUUUCUAUUUACGAGAA